This 601-nucleotide long non-coding RNA is filed under the name Felis catus (domestic cat). Its description in RNAcentral is "lncRNA (ENSFCAG00000049645.1)". Lineage: Eukaryota; Metazoa; Chordata; Mammalia; Carnivora; Felidae. The record is from RNAcentral.
UCGGUCUCCAUCCCUCUCCGAGGCCGCGAGAACCCACUGCCUGGAUGAGCAGGGUUGCCUUUAGCGGCCGUUCAGGGAACACUGAACUCAGCACUUCUGGCACCGAGACCCUCGACCCUCGACCCUCGACCCUAGGAGGAGCCCCUUCUUCAAGUCUUCAGACACCAGCCGGAUGUCCUAUGAUUCGAUUCGAUUCUGGCACUAACCACCCAGAGUUUGCACAGACCCAAGGUUAGGGGGUCCCCUGCGUCGGACGUCCGUUGGAAGUCCCAGGUUGUCACCUGGGCUUCUGACCGACUGGCUAUAAACGGGGGGCGGGGGGGGGCGGAUAUCCUCAACCCCUCCUCAGCUUGGGUGACUUGCUCAAACUGCUCACAGAACUCAAGUUACUUUCCUUAUUAGCACCGGCCGUAAAGGACACAAGCCAGGAACAGCCAAGUGGAAGAGAUCCCUGGGGCGGAGCAUGGGGGGGAGGGGGGAGAGGGGCUCAGAGCUUCUGGCCCUCCCGGCACCCCCAUACGAUCCCCAGGCAGGAAGCUCCCCAAACCCCAUUUUUCAGGGCUUUUUUAAACGGAUGUUCCAUUAAGUUCGCAGGACUGAG